AGUAAUGUCUGGGAAACUGCCUGAUGGAGGGGGAGUAACUACUGGAAACGGUAGCUAAUACCGCAUAACGUCGCAAGACCAAAGAGGGGGACCUUCGUGCCUCUUGCCAUCAGAUGUGCCCAGAUGGGAUUAGCUAGUAGGUGGGGUAACGGCUCACCUAGGUGACGAUCCCUAGCUGGUCUGAGAGGAUGACCAGCCACACUGGAACUGAGACACGGUCCAGACUCCUACGGGAGGCAGCAUG
Molecule: ribosomal RNA, 244 nt
Filed under: uncultured bacterium
Lineage: Bacteria
Description: partial 16S ribosomal RNA
Rfam family: Bacterial small subunit ribosomal RNA
Source: RNAcentral